RNAcentral lists this transfer RNA (74 nucleotides) under Cnuella takakiae. It matches the Rfam family "tRNA". Rfam says of the family: Transfer RNA (tRNA) molecules are approximately 80 nucleotides in length. The record is from Rfam by way of RNAcentral. Lineage: Bacteria; Pseudomonadati; Bacteroidota; Chitinophagia; Chitinophagales; Chitinophagaceae.
GGACGUUUAGCUCAGUUGGUUAGAGCAGCAGACUCAUAAUCUGCGGGUCCACGGUUCGAGCCCGUGAACGUCCA